RNAcentral lists this transfer RNA (62 nucleotides) under Achalinus rufescens (Boulenger's odd-scaled snake). RNAcentral's name for it is "tRNA-Ile". Lineage: Eukaryota; Metazoa; Chordata; Lepidosauria; Squamata; Xenodermidae. The record is from RNAcentral.
AGAAGUGUGCCCGAGUCAGGGACUACCUUGAUAGAGUAGACACAGGAUUAUCCUCACUUCUG